GAGUAUUGAGUAGAGUUCCCUGUGCUAUGCAGUAGGUCCUUAUUAGUUAUCUAGUUUAUAUAUAGUAGUGUGUAUAUGCCAAUCCCAAUCUCCCAAUUUAUCCCCCCACCCCCCUUACCUCCUGGUAACCAUAAGUUUAUUUUCUACAUCUGUAACUCUGUUUUGGUUUUGUAGAUAAGUUCAUUUGUACCCUUUUUUUUGUACAUGCCGCAUGUAAGCGAUAUAUGAUAUUUGUCUUUCUCUGUCUGACUUACUUAGUAUGACAAUCUCUAGGUCCAUCCAUGUUGCUGCAAAUGGCAUUAUUUCAUUCUUUUUUAUGGCUGAGUAAUAUCCCAUUAUGUAUAUGUACCACAUCUUCUUUAUCCAUUCCUCUGUUGAAACUUCAUAGGAAUUUGAUUGAAAGAAACUUACGUUCUCAGUAAUACGUUUUCAGUAACAAGUUGCUAGAAGCUUGAAAAACUUUAUACAUACUAAUGAAAAUUAUAUGAAAGUAAAUGUAAGAUAAUAGGUUUGUGAACUGAGGCAAACUGAUCUUUCAAAAAUAACCUUUUCUGUAGGAGUUGAAAAAUAUGAGGGCUAACUAAGAUUUCUUCUGUAUAAGUGCUGAUGGCAACGAGCAUUGACAUAGAGCAGAAACUUCUUUAACCACCUUCCACUUAACUGGCUUCACACAUACUCCUCUCUAUGUGCUCACACCUAGUAAGGGUAUGUGCUCUUGGGGCACGUGCCCCCUUUCACUCUCACUAGUAAAACUUUAUAUACACCAUAAGAGUUAGUUUUGUUUCUUGUAACCCCAUAUCGCCAUUGUGGUUAUUAUUAUAAUUACACGUAAAUUAAAUAUCAUGUAAGAGAAUCAAACAUGAGUAUAAAUAUAAAGAGGAAAACAUUAAAUAUCUUGAUUAAGGCGAGUCACCAAAAACAAAAAUUUCCAUCAGAUUAGGUGUUGGAGCAAAAACUGAUUGUGAAGAAAAAGAAUUGUGAAAGUUCAAACUGAUGCUGAAAUCAGAUUGCUGGACUUCAAGAAACCAAUCUGGUUAUGCUGUGGAUGACGCCAUCACCCAUAUAGUUGACACUGCAACGAGUGCCAGCAAAGAGAGCCCUGCCUUAUGCUACAAGACAGACCCAUGAUGAUAGAUUUACAUCUUCUAAGUGCCUAAGGUGGCUAAUGUGUCCUAUAAUUCCCCACUUCAGGUUUUCUCAGUUAACCGACUUGCUACAGUCCUGAGGCCGUCAGACAAGGAGCUCUCCUGAACGCCUGGGUGUUGCUGCUACCUUCUUCCCACAAGUACCACCUCUCCUUCUACUCUGCGUUGUGUGGGAGCUUCCAGUGUACAUUAUUUCUGCAUUAAAGGCAUCCAACGACCCUUUCCAGCAGCAUCCAUCCACCUCAUACCCCAGACCAAACUUCUAAAACAUACAGCUAGAAGAGGAUGUCUGCAAACAUUUAGACAGUUCAAAAAAGCAUCUUCGGAUAUGAUAUUCAAAGUGGACUGCUCUGCAGGGAGAACAGCAGAGAGGGUACCAGCGGUUUCCCAGGCCACCAGCAACCAGCACCAACAUCUUUCCUCGUCGUCAGCUCCAGGCUUUACAGUGAAGACACUUCUCCCCAUUCAACUCCAUUCCACGCUAGAAAUAAGGGCGAAAACCAGCACACAAGCCCAGAUUUAUGAUGGAGCUGUGUGCCUGCCCAGGAAGUCUUGGAGUUUUGCUCUCAUUCUCAGCUUCAUAAUAAAAUGUAAAAGAGCUGGGGGCAGUCAAUUCAGCUCAUUGGAUAUUCUCAGCAAGUAGUAACUAAUGGAUUUUAACAUAGAAAAUUAUAUCAUUUUCAGUCAGUUAAUAAUAGCAAGGUUCUAAUUUACCUUAAAAGAAUCCAUAACCCAUAAUAGAGCAAAGACCUGAAAUAAUUGCCCUAAAAGAGAUUAGACGUUCUUUGUGUUUACUUCCACUGAACACGCAUAUUUUGAAAUACCAGAAAAUAGCAAAAAAUUUUAAUCAAUAUUUCCAAAUCCUCCACACCCUGUCUUCUAGAUUCUGCCUUCUUCCCCUUGCAAAACAUAUCAACAACAGAAAGCAAACAAGGAAUUAAACGAAGAAAAUAUACACUAGGAUUGUGAACAAGU
Molecule: non-coding RNA, 2120 nt
Organism: Kogia breviceps (pygmy sperm whale)
Lineage: Eukaryota; Metazoa; Chordata; Mammalia; Artiodactyla; Physeteridae
Source: RefSeq, a predicted model, not a curated record